Long non-coding RNA from Sinocyclocheilus grahami, 305 nucleotides. RefSeq lists it as uncharacterized. The transcript has 3 exons. Lineage: Eukaryota; Metazoa; Chordata; Actinopteri; Cypriniformes; Cyprinidae. The record is from RefSeq and is a predicted model, not a curated record.
UUACUGAUUUGUCCUCUCAUUUGUUUACAGCGGAGUUUAAAUGCCAGCCCGGAAGGUUCCAGUGUGGAACGGGUUUGUGUGCCCUCCCUCCCUUCAUCUGUGAUGGAGAGAACGACUGCGGAGACAACUCCGAUGAAGCCAACUGUGACUCGUAUAUCUGCCUGUCUGGCCAGUUUAAGUGCACUCACCGGCAAAAGUGCAUCCCUAUAAACCUGCGGUGUAACGGACAGGAUGACUGCGGAGACGGUGAAGAUGAAACCGAUUGCCCCGAGAACACUUGCUCGCCGUCCCAGUUUCAAUGCAAG